RNAcentral lists this ribosomal RNA (494 nucleotides) under uncultured bacterium. Its description in RNAcentral is "partial 16S ribosomal RNA". It matches the Rfam family "Bacterial small subunit ribosomal RNA", at positions 28 to 507 of the family's 1533-position model. The record is from RNAcentral.
GACGAACGCUGGCGGCGUGCUUAACACGUGCAAGUCGAACGGUGAAGCGCCUUCCUUUUUGGUGGGUGUGGAUGAGUGGCGAACGGGUGAGUAACACGUGAGUAACCUGCCCCCUUCUUCUGGAUAACCGCAUGAAAGUGUGGCUAAUACGGGAUAUUCUGGGUCUGUCGCAUGAUGGGUCUGGGAAAGAUAUUGUUUCGGUGGGGGAUGGGCUCGCGGCCUAUCAGCUUGUUGGGGGGGUGAUGGCCUACCAAGGCGGUGACGGGUAGCCGGCCUGAGAGGGUGGACGGGCACACGGGGACUGAGACACGGCCCAGAAUCCUACGGGGGCCAGCAGUGGGGAAUAUUGCACAAUGGGCGAAAGCCUGAUGCAGCGACGCCGCGUGAGGGAUGGAGGCCUUCGGGUUGUGAACCUCUUUCGCCAGUGAAGCAGGCCUGCCUCGUUUGUGGGUGGGUUGACGGUAGCUGGAGAAGAAGCGCCGGCUAACUACGUG